Molecule: transfer RNA, 92 nt
Filed under: candidate division WS2 bacterium
Lineage: Bacteria
Also listed under: 1 other name
Description: tRNA-Ser
Rfam family: tRNA
About the family: Transfer RNA (tRNA) molecules are approximately 80 nucleotides in length. Their secondary structure includes four short double-helical elements and three loops (D, anti-codon, and T loops).
Source: RNAcentral
GGAGAGGUGGCUGAGCGGUUGAAAGCACUCGCCUCGAAAGCGAGCAGGGGGUUUCAUCUCCCUCGAGGGUUCAAAUCCCUCCCUCUCCGCCA